AACGAACGCUGGCGGCAUGCCUAACACAUGCAAGUCGAACGAGACCUUCGGGUCUAGUGGCGCACGGGUGCGUCACGCGUGGGAACCUGCCCUUAUGUUCGGAAUAACUCCCCGACUGGGGUGCUAAUACCGGAUAAUGUCUUCGGACCAAAGAUUUAUCGCCCUUGGAUGGGCCCGCGUUGGAUUCGCUAGUUGGUAGGGUAAAAGCCUACCAAGGCGUCGAUCCAUAGCUGGGCUGAGAGGAUGGUCAGCCACACUGAGACUAGGACACGGCCCAGACUCCUACGCGAAGCAGGAGAGGGGGAUAUAGGACAAUGGGGGGAGGCAUGAAGGAGCAAGGCGGGGAGAGUGAUGAAGGCGGUAGAGAAGUAAAGCUCGUUUACCCGGGAUGAUAAUGACGGUACCGAGAGAAUAAGCUCCGGCUAACUCCGUG
RNAcentral lists this ribosomal RNA (433 nucleotides) under uncultured bacterium. RNAcentral's name for it is "partial 16S ribosomal RNA". It matches the Rfam family "Bacterial small subunit ribosomal RNA", at positions 29 to 507 of the family's 1533-position model. The record is from RNAcentral.